This 429-nucleotide ribosomal RNA is filed under the name bacterium. Its description in RNAcentral is "partial 16S ribosomal RNA". It matches the Rfam family "Bacterial small subunit ribosomal RNA", at positions 355 to 776 of the family's 1533-position model. The record is from RNAcentral.
UAGGGAAUCUUCCACAAUGGACGCAAGUCUGAUGGAGCAACGCCGCGUGAGUGAAGAAGGUUUUCGGAUCGUAAAGCUCUGUUGUUGGUGAAGAAGGAUAGAGGUAGUAACUGGCCUUUAUUUGACGGUAAUCAACCAGAAAGUCACGGCUAACUACGUGCCAGCAGCCGCGGUAAUACGUAGGUGGCAAGCGUUGUCCGGAUUUAUUGGGCGUAAAGCGAGCGCAGGCGGAAGAAUAAGUCUGAUGUGAAAGCCCUCGGCUUAACCGAGGAACUGCAUCGGAAACCGUUUUUCUUGAGUGCAGAAGAGGAGAGUGGAAUUCCAUGUGUAGCGGUGGAAUGCGUAGAUAUAUGGAAGAACACCAGUGGCGAAGGCGACUCUCUGGUCUGCAACUGACGCUGAGGCUCGAAAGCAUGGGUAGCGAACAGG